UAUUUGUGUUUCAGGUGUUGGACAUGGCCAUCGUCUUGUACGCGCCGUCGCUAGCCCUGAACGCAGAGCCAAAUAACAUGAAAGACACACGUUCAGCAGUUACAUUUACGAGACAGGUCUAAACACCGCUGUACAUACGCUGUACAUGUGCCAGAAGUGUAUCAAGAACUUUGAUUGUUAUAUUGUAGCUGGUUCCCUUGUACAUGAUGGACAUCCUGAAUCAGUACCUCGGACUGCCGGGACUUAUGCUCUCUUGUAUAUUCAGCGGAAGUCUCAGUUGACCGGGGCGUUUUUCGGAAUUAUGGGAGGACCAUUGUUGGGGUUAAUUUGCCUGGGAAUGUUGUUUCCUUGGGCAAACAAAUGGACUGGCAACCAGUCUAUCUCUUCUGCUCUGGAUUGGACUGGGCCAAGCUAUCACAAGAACCAGCGUUGUGAUUACGCCGCCGGUGGAGACUGUCGGCUGCAACUGGACUGCUAUUAACAAAAUGACCCCAUCCCUCUCCUACCGACCACCACGC
Long non-coding RNA from Dreissena polymorpha, 518 nucleotides. RefSeq lists it as uncharacterized. NCBI's taxonomy places the organism in Eukaryota, Metazoa, Mollusca, Bivalvia, Myida, Dreissenidae. The record is from RefSeq and is a predicted model, not a curated record. The transcript is spliced from 4 exons.